Molecule: long non-coding RNA, 753 nt
Organism: Talpa occidentalis (Iberian mole)
Lineage: Eukaryota; Metazoa; Chordata; Mammalia; Eulipotyphla; Talpidae
Exons: 5
Source: RefSeq, a predicted model, not a curated record
UAUGACUUAAUAAAAUUCACAUGCCUGAGACCUGUUGUUGCCAGUGAAACUAUUUCAUCCAACAAUGAAAUAUUUGGAUUGGCUGAUGUGGACUACCAGCUGGCUAAACAUGGGACCAAAAAUGAGGAUGGAAUUGAAACUUGUCCUUAUGCUAAGGCAACCCUAAAGCUGUUUGCCUGAACCAGAAAUAUAUGACCAUGAUUUUAACAACUGCAUGCAAGACAGAAAUAGGACCUUAGGUCUGUGCAAGGUGGGGACUGCUGCAGGGCAGACAAAAGGCAAAGAGCAUUGCAGGAAGAAGGAAGUGCAGAGACCAAGGAAGCAGGUCCUAGGACAGCAAGACACUCUGAGAACUGACUUCUUCCCUGCUUAGAGGUACCUACCUGGGGAAGAUUUUUCCACCACUCAAGGAACAUUUGCAAGGACCAGUGGAACAAGAAUCUGGAACAUCAAGGAAAGAGAAGGAGACUUCACAUGACAGGAGAAGGUGACCUUAUCCUUCUACUCAGAGAGUAAAAACAUGAUUUAUUUUUUUCACAUAAGGAGGACAUGUUCACUGAAAAACUUACACCUGAAUGAUAUUUCCAAACUACAUUCUUCCAAGUCAGGUAAAGGGGGGGCAGUGAUUGCUUCUUCAUUUGUGAAAAGACAGCUGAUUGAGACAAGGACAAUGACUGAGAAGCCCUCCAGGGCCUUCAUUGCUCUUCACUUAAAAUAAUCUGCAUUCUCUAAGUAAUGGUAAUAGACUUCUCU